Molecule: ribosomal RNA, 118 nt
Filed under: Mustela putorius furo (domestic ferret)
Lineage: Eukaryota; Metazoa; Chordata; Mammalia; Carnivora; Mustelidae
Source: RNAcentral
GUCUACGGCCAUACCAACCUGAACGUGCCUGAUCUCUUCUGACCUCAGAAGCUAAGCAGGUCAGGCCUGGUUAGUACUUGGAUGGGAGAAUGCUGAGAAAUAACAGGUGCUAUAGGCU